RNAcentral lists this unclassified non-coding RNA (412 nucleotides) under soil metagenome. Its description in RNAcentral is "partial contains 5.8S ribosomal RNA, internal transcribed spacer 2, and large subunit ribosomal RNA". The stretch from base 1 to 122 matches the Rfam family "5.8S ribosomal RNA", at positions 35 to 154 of the family's 154-position model. The record is from RNAcentral.
GAUGAAGAACGUAGCGAAAUGCGAUACUUGGUGUGAAUUGCAGAAUCCCGUGAACCAUCGAGUCUUUGAACGCAAGUUGCGCCCGAAGCCGUCAGGCCGAGGGCACGCCUGCCUGGGCGUCACACGCCGUUGCCCCCCCCGCGCCCCGCACCCAACUCUUUGGGAGCGACCGCGGGGCGGGCUGAUGAUGGCCUCCCGUGCGCUCCGCCGCGCGGUUGGCCCAAAUACCGAGUCCCCGGCGACGUGCGCCACGACGAUCGGUGGUUGAGAGACCUCUGUCGCAAGUCGUGCGCGCCCGUCGCGUCACGCGGGCUCGCAUAGCGCCUCGCGCCGCACCCGGUGCGGAGCUUUCAACGCGACCCCAGGUCAGGCGGGGUUACCCGCUGAAUUUAAGCAUAUCAAUAAGCGGAGA